RNAcentral lists this unclassified non-coding RNA (525 nucleotides) under Bombus terrestris (buff-tailed bumblebee). Its description in RNAcentral is "misc RNA ENSBTSG00005023921.1". Lineage: Eukaryota; Metazoa; Arthropoda; Insecta; Hymenoptera; Apidae. The record is from RNAcentral.
ACUCGUCAAUGAAAUCUUACAGGCGCUGGAAACAAAACAAUAUUGCACGGCAUUCUUUAUGGACAUUGAAAAAGCAUUCGACAAAGUUAACCAUGAAAAACUUCUAUAAACAAUCAAAAAGCAAUUUCCAGAACAAAUCUACAAACUACGCAAAUCUUACUUAAACAAUAGAACCUUUGUAGUAAAAAUAAAUGAUGCAUAUUCUGAAAUUAAGGAUAUCAAGGUAGGAGUACCGCAAGGAAGCGUCCUAGGACCAAUACUAUACACACUAUAUAUGGCAGGCAUACCAACAACUGUCAACAGCAAAAUACUAACGUUCGCGGACGAUACGGCCAUACGAGUGAGGCACAGAAAUCCAGAAACGGCUGCCACACUACUACAAAAACACAUUACAAAAAUAAAAAAGUGGCUGCAAAACAAACAAAUAAAAGUGAACAUCAGUAAACACACACCUUACAUGGAAGCACCAUAUAAAAUCAAUAAUAAACAGAAUACAUGGAAAAAGGAAGCAAAUGUACUGGUCAA